AACGCACCUUGCGCUCCUUGGUAUUCCGAGGAGCACGCCUGUUCGAGUGUCGUGAAGCUCUCAAGCUGGAUGCUUUUUCGAAAGUGAUCUGUAGGCUUGGAAUUGGACCAUUGCGGCUUUCUCUGGAGAGCGGCUCGUCCGAAAUGCAUUAGCUGACCCUUGUCUGCGGACGUGGUUCUACUCGACGUGAUAAUCAUCAGUCGUCGAGGACGGCUUCAGCAAUGAAGUCGGCCAUUUCUGCCUCGGGACGCUUCUAAUCGUGUUCCUAGGAGCACAACUUUUCUGACUUUGACCUCGAAUCAGGUGGGACUACCCGCUGAACUUAA
Molecule: unclassified non-coding RNA, 326 nt
Filed under: uncultured Cantharellales
Lineage: Eukaryota; Fungi; Basidiomycota; Agaricomycetes; Cantharellales
Description: sequence contains 5.8S rRNA gene, ITS2, 28S rRNA gene
Source: RNAcentral